Molecule: ribosomal RNA, 301 nt
Filed under: uncultured Archaeoglobus sp.
Lineage: Archaea; Methanobacteriati; Methanobacteriota; Archaeoglobi; Archaeoglobales; Archaeoglobaceae
Description: bacterial SSU rRNA
Rfam family: Bacterial small subunit ribosomal RNA
Source: RNAcentral
CGGCAUAGUCCGGGCCAGCAGCGCCGGUCGCAGGUGGGGGCCGAGCUGUGUCCUGGUUCCGUUGGCGGCAAGCGCGCGUAGGUGGCUCGUAAAGGCGGUCGUGAAAUGCCUGGGCUGAACCCCGGGAGUGCGUCCGAUACGCCCGAGCUGGGGGCAGGUAGGGGAGAUCGGAAUUCCUGGUGUGGCGGUGAAAUGCGCAGAUAUCAGGAGGAACACCGGUGGCGAAGGCGGAUCUCUGGGCCUUGCCUGACGCUGAGGCGCGAAAGCUAGGGGAGCGAACAGGAUUAGAUACCCAGUAGUC